RNAcentral lists this ribosomal RNA (253 nucleotides) under uncultured bacterium. RNAcentral describes it as "partial 16S ribosomal RNA". It matches the Rfam family "Bacterial small subunit ribosomal RNA", at positions 524 to 776 of the family's 1533-position model. The record is from RNAcentral.
UACGUAGGGUGCAAGCGUUGUCUGGAAUUAUUGGGCGUAAAGAGCUCGUAGGCGGUCUGUCGCGUCGGCUGUGAAAACCCGGGGCUCAACCCCGGGCCUGCAGUCGAUACGGGCAGACUAGAGUGCGGUAGGGGAGACUGGAAUUCCUGGUGUAGCGGUGAAAUGCGCAGAUAUCAGGAGGAACACCGGUGGCGAAGGCGGGUCUCUGGGCCGUAACUGACGCUGAGGAGCGAAAGCGUGGGGAGCGAACAGG